This 247-nucleotide ribosomal RNA is filed under the name uncultured Lactobacillus sp. Its description in RNAcentral is "partial 16S ribosomal RNA". It matches the Rfam family "Bacterial small subunit ribosomal RNA", at positions 116 to 355 of the family's 1533-position model. Lineage: Bacteria; Bacillati; Bacillota; Bacilli; Lactobacillales; Lactobacillaceae. The record is from RNAcentral.
CGUGGGGAACCUGCCCCAUAGUCUGGGAUACCACUUGGAAACAGGUGCUAAUACCGGAUAAGAAAGCAGAUCGCAUGAUCAGCUUUUAAAAGGCGGCGUAAGCUGUCGCUAUGGGAUGGCCCCGCGGUGCAUUAGCUAGUUGGUAAGGUAAAGGCUUACCAAGGCGAUGAUGCAUAGCCGAGUUGAGAGACUGAUCGGCCACAUUGGGACUGGGACACGGCCCAAACUCCUACGGGAGGCAGCAGUC